This 63-nucleotide small nuclear RNA is filed under the name Rhinolophus ferrumequinum (greater horseshoe bat). RNAcentral's name for it is "U7 small nuclear RNA (ENSRFEG00010002553.1)". It matches the Rfam family "U7 small nuclear RNA". Rfam says of the family: Animal histone pre-mRNAs are spliced by a different mechanism than nuclear pre-mRNAs and self-splicing introns. This processing involves the U7 snRNP, which contains only one RNA species: U7. Lineage: Eukaryota; Metazoa; Chordata; Mammalia; Chiroptera; Rhinolophidae. The record is from Rfam by way of RNAcentral.
UAGUGCUUACAGCUCUUUUUGAAUUUAUCUAGUAAGUCUUCCAGUUUUCACCUGAAAGCCCCC